CGCAUCUGUGCAUGCAGCAUAUCAAUAAGCGGAGGAAAAGAAACUAACAAGGAUUCCCUUAGUAACGGCGAGUGAAGCGGGAAGAGCUCAAAUUUGAAAUCUUGAAAGGUCACCUUUCACGAAUUGUAGUUUAAAGAAGUGUUUUCUGUUACGAUCGUAAUAUAAGUUCUUUGGAAUAGGACAUCACAGAGGGUGAGAAUCCCGUCUAUGAUUGCGAUUUGUAGCUUUGUGAUACACUUUCAAAGAGUCGGGUUGUUUGGGAAUGCAGUCCAAAAUGGGUAGGUAAAUUUCUUCUAAGGCUAAAUAUUGGCGAGAGACCGAUAGCGAACAAGUACCGUGAGGGAAAGAUGAAAAGAACUUUGAAAAGAGAGUUAAAUAGUACGUGAAAUUGUCAAAAGGGAGGCGUUUAACACCAGUGUUGUUUUCUGAAAAUCAACCUCUGUUAGCUUUAUGCAUGUUUGUUUAGACCUAAUCAGCUAUCUUGCAUGUUCUAUUGUUUGCAGUGGUGCACUUUUCAGUUUACAGGUCAACAUCAGUUUUUUUUACCGUAAAAAAGUUAAAGAAAGGUAGCUCAUGGCUCCGGUCGUGAGUGUUAUAGUCUUUUUCCUAUGCGGUAGGAGAGACUGAGGUCUGCAGUGUAGGCUAUUUGGCUAGAUACUCAGGUGCUAUGUGAUACCAUUUCAUAAACAACUUGUUGAUUAUGUUUUGUCUAUUGCAUACUCGCUUGUACUAUCAUACCUACGCUUAGGAUGUUGACGAUCAGCUGAGCGCG
This 772-nucleotide ribosomal RNA is filed under the name uncultured Neocallimastigales. RNAcentral's name for it is "partial large subunit ribosomal RNA". It matches the Rfam family "Eukaryotic large subunit ribosomal RNA", at positions 26 to 637 of the family's 3401-position model. The record is from RNAcentral. Lineage: Eukaryota; Fungi; Neocallimastigomycota; Neocallimastigomycetes; Neocallimastigales.